This 346-nucleotide long non-coding RNA is filed under the name Eurytemora carolleeae. RNAcentral describes it as "uncharacterized LOC111711179". The record is from RNAcentral. Lineage: Eukaryota; Metazoa; Arthropoda; Copepoda; Calanoida; Temoridae.
GCGAGCUACGCUGCGUUCAUAAAGUCUAUGUGACACCCCUGUGAUUCUCUGAGUUCCCCCUGAGGGUCUGUACAGAACGUAUUGUGAAGAACUAGUUUGAGAAGCUGUUUACCGUCCGACUACGCAUGCGCAAGUUCCCUGCGUAGGAGAGAGCAGUUUCUACUUCAGUAUACAGUUGUAUUUCAUGUAAUGUUCGUCUAUUAUUAAACCGUGUGAAUAUUCUAGGACCACUGCGAUUGAAGGCUUAGAGAAAUAAACGUUCGGAACCUUAUUAUCAUCCUUGUGUUAUGGAGAGCGUUGAGAGAAGGAAGCCUUACAAUCCUAUCCAGAGAAAUACCACUCGGUA